This 2352-nucleotide ribosomal RNA is filed under the name Vibrio vulnificus. RNAcentral's name for it is "bacterial LSU rRNA". It matches the Rfam family "Bacterial large subunit ribosomal RNA", at positions 410 to 2925 of the family's 2925-position model. Lineage: Bacteria; Pseudomonadati; Pseudomonadota; Gammaproteobacteria; Vibrionales; Vibrionaceae. The record is from RNAcentral.
GAGUAGGGCGGGACACGUGUUAUCCUGUCUGAAUAUGGGGGGACCAUCCUCCAAGGCUAAAUACUCCUGACUGACCGAUAGUGAACCAGUACCGUGAGGGAAAGGCGAAAAGAACCCCUGUGAGGGGAGGGAAAUAGAACCUGAAACCGUGUACGUACAAGCAGUAGGAGCACCUUCGUGGUGUGACUGCGUACCUUUUGUAUAAUGGGUCAGCGACUUAUAUUCAGUGGCAAGGUUAACCAUCUAGGGGAGCCGUAGGGAAACCGAGUCUUAACUGGGCGUCAUAGUCUCUGGAUAUAGCCCCGAAACCGAGUGAUCUAGCCAUGGGCAGGUUGAAGGUUGAGUAACAUCAACUGGAGGACCGAACCGACUAAUGUUGAAAAAUUAGCGGAUGACUUGUGGCUAGGGGUGAAAGGCCAAUCAAACUCGGAGAUAGCUGGUUCUCCCCGAAAGCUAUUUAGGUAGCGCCUCGGACGAAUACUACUGGGGGUAGAGCACUGUUAAGGCUAGGGGGUCAUCCCGACUUACCAACCCUUUGCAAACUCCGAAUACCAGUAAGUACUAUCCGGGAGACACACGGCGGGNCACUGUUAAGGCUAGGGGGUCAUCCCGACUUACCAACCCUUUGCAAACUCCGAAUACCAGUAAGUACUAUCCGGGAGACACACGGCGGGUGCUAACGUCCGUCGUGGGGAGGGAAACAACCCAGACCGCCAGCUAAGGUCCCAAAUUACAGCUAAGUGGGAAACGAUGUGGGAAGGCUUAGACAGCUAGGAUGUUGGCUUAGAAGCAGCCAUCAUUUAAAGAAAGCGUAAUAGCUCACUAGUCGAGUCGGCCUGCGCGGAAGAUGUAACGGGGCUAAGUUGUAAACCGAAGCUGCGGCAAUAUCUUUUAGAUAUUGGGUAGGGGAGCGUUCUGUAAGCCGUUGAAGGUGUGUUGUAAAGCAUGCUGGAGGNNNNNNNNNNNNNNNNNNNNNNNNNNNCCUGGCGACGGUUGUCCAGGUUCAAGUGCGUAGGCUGAGUGUUUAGGUAAAUCCGGACACUCUUAAGGCUGAGACACGACGUCGAGCUACUACGGUAGUGAAGUCAUUGAUGCCAUGCUUCCAGGAAAAGCCUCUAAGCUUCAGAUUGUAAGGAAUCGUACCCCAAACCGACACAGGUGGUCGGGUAGAGAAUACCAAGGCGCUUGAGAGAACUCGGGUGAAGGAACUAGGCAAAAUGGUACCGUAACUUCGGGAGAAGGUACGCUCUUGAUGGUGAAGUCCCUUGCGGAUGGAGCUGACGAGAGUCGCAGAUACCAGGUGGCUGCAACUGUUUAUUAAAAACACAGCACUGUGCAAAAUCGUAAGAUGACGUAUACGGUGUGACGCCUGCCCGGUGCCGGAAGGUUAAUUGAUGGGGUUAGCGUAAGCGAAGCUCUUGAUCGAAGCCCCGGUAAACGGCGGCCGUAACUAUAACGGUCCUAAGGUAGCGAAAUUCCUUGUCGGGUAAGUUCCGACCUGCACGAAUGGCGUAAUGAUGGCCACGCUGUCUCCACCCGAGACUCAGUGAAAUUGAAAUCGCUGUGAAGAUGCAGUGUACCCGCGGCUAGACGGAAAGACCCCGUGAACCUUUACUACAGCUUGGNCCCUUGUAUGUUUGAUGUUCUAACGUUGGCCCCUAAUCGGGGUUGCGGACAGUGCCUGGUGGGUAGUUUGACUGGGGCGGUCUCCUCCCAAAGAGUAACGGAGGAGCACGAAGGUGGGCUAAUCACGGUUGGACAUCGUGAGGUUAGUGCAAUGGCAUAAGCCCGCUUAACUGCGAGAAUGACGGUUCGAGCAGGUGCGAAAGCAGGUCAUAGUGAUCCGGUGGUUCUGAAUGGAAGGGCCAUCGCUCAACGGAUAAAAGGUACUCCGGGGAUAACAGGCUGAUACCGCCCAAGAGUUCAUAUCGACGGCGGUGUUUGGCACCUCGAUGUCGGCUCAUCACAUCCUGGGGCUGAAGUCGGUCCCAAGGGUAUGGCUGUUCGCCAUUUAAAGUGGUACGCGAGCUGGGUUUAGAACGUCGUGAGACAGUUCGGUCCCUAUCUGCCGUGGGCGUUGGAAGAUUGAAGGGGGCUGCUCCUAGUACGAGAGGACCGGAGUGGACGAACCUCUGGUGUUCGGGUUGUGUCGCCAGACGCAUUGCCCGGUAGCUAAGUUCGGAAUCGAUAACCGCUGAAAGCAUCUAAGCGGGAAGCGAGCCCUGAGAUGAGUCUUCCCUGAUACUUUAAGUAUCCUNUUAACCAUACAACACCCAAAGGGUUUUGAUGGACUCGAUGUAAGAACAUUGAAUGUGUAGAGAACAUAAACAGCUUUCCAGAUUUUUUGCCUUC